ACCAGACUCCUACGGGAGGCAGCAGUGGGGGAUAUUGCACAAUGGGGGGAACCCUGAUGCAGCGACGCCGCGUGGGUGAAGAAGCGCCUCGGCGCGUAAAGCCCUGUCAGCAGGGAAGAAAAUGACGGUACCUGAAGAAGAAGCCCCGGCUAACUACGUGCCAGCAGCCGCGGUAAUACGUAGGGGGCAAGCGUUAUCCGGAUUUACUGGGUGUAAAGGGGGCGCAGACGGCGAUGCAAGCCAGGAGUGAAAGCCCGGGGCCCAACCCCGGGACUGCUCUUGGAACUGCGUGGCUGGAGUGCAGGAGGGGCAGGCGGAAUUCCUGGCGUAGCGGUGAAAUGCGUAGAUAUCAGGAGGAACACCGGUGGCGAAGGCGGCCUGCUGGACUGCAACUGACGUUGAGGCCCGAAAGCGUGGGGAGCAAACAGGAUUAGAUACCCCCGUAGU
This 447-nucleotide ribosomal RNA is filed under the name uncultured bacterium. RNAcentral describes it as "bacterial SSU rRNA". It matches the Rfam family "Bacterial small subunit ribosomal RNA", at positions 330 to 794 of the family's 1533-position model. The record is from RNAcentral.